GUCCACGCCCUAAACGAUGUCAACUAGUUGUUGGGGAUUUAUUUCCUUGGUAACGUAGCUAACGCGUGAAGUUGACCGCCUGGGGAGUACGGCCGCAAGGUUAAAACUCAAAGGAAUUGACGGGGACCCGCACAAGCGGUGGAUGAUGUGGAUUAAUUCGAUGCAACGCGAAAAACCUUACCUACCCUUGACAUGGCAGGAAUUCCGAAGAGAUUUGGAAGUGCUCGAAAGAGAACCUGCGCACAGGUGCUGCAUGGCUGUCGU
Molecule: ribosomal RNA, 264 nt
Filed under: uncultured bacterium
Lineage: Bacteria
Description: partial 16S ribosomal RNA
Rfam family: Bacterial small subunit ribosomal RNA
Source: RNAcentral